Molecule: ribosomal RNA, 253 nt
Filed under: uncultured bacterium
Lineage: Bacteria
Description: partial 16S ribosomal RNA
Rfam family: Bacterial small subunit ribosomal RNA
Source: RNAcentral
GACGUAGGGCGCGAGCGUUGUCCGGAUUUAUUGGGCGUAAAGAGCUCGUAGGCGGCUUGUCGCGUCGUCUGUGAAAACUUGGGGCUCAACCGCAAGCUUGCGGUCGAUACGGGCAGGCUCGAGUUCGGUAGGGGAGACUGGAAUUCCUGGUGUAGCGGUGAAAUGCGCAGAUAUCAGGAGGAACACCGGUGGCGAAGGCGGCAUCCUGGACCGGUACUGACGCUGAGGAGCGAAAGCCAGGGGAGCGAACAGG